This is a long non-coding RNA of Crotalus tigris (Tiger rattlesnake), 840 nucleotides long. RefSeq lists it as uncharacterized. The record is from RefSeq and is a predicted model, not a curated record. NCBI's taxonomy places the organism in Eukaryota, Metazoa, Chordata, Lepidosauria, Squamata, Viperidae. The transcript has 3 exons.
CAAAUGGAAGGAAUGUUCUGUACAAUCUUCCAACGGAAAGAUAGAAUAAAUAAGUAACAAAGAAAUGAAUUUGAACCCUUUGUGAAAUUCUGUGUUUGAGAAAGGCUAUUGUGCAAUUAAAGCCUAAUCUGGAAACACCCUGAAAGGGGGCACCAAGCAGUGCCUACGAAAGAAAAAAAGUCCUUUGUUGAGGUAAUGCAUUUGGCCACAGGUUUGGGUCAGCUGUUAAGCAGAAAAAACAGACUUAUCUCAGAUUGGACACAGAAGUCAGGCCAGGCAGAAAUGCUGGGAAAUUCCCUUACUCCCCCUCCCUUCUGGCUAAGUUAGUUGUCAACAGGAAGGAGGAAAUAGUUCAGUUGCUCUACAGAAGAGCUACAGGAGCAAGCAGAGAUUCUGCAAAUGCAUGGCUUUGGGGAGGAGGGCAGAAGGAGCUCUGUGCAAACUGCAGACCUUUAUCGUUAACGAUUUUAAUUGUAUCCUUUUAAUACACAUUGCUUUGCAUGUGUUCAGUUGUCCAGUUGGAGCAUUUCAUGGAAAUUCCCACUGAACGGAUCCUGAAUGUAGUGAAAAUGAAACCAGCAGUUGGGGACGGGGGGGAGAAGGGUGAAUUAACAGCACUGAGGAACUGGAUUUCAUCUAGUUUUUGCCAAUUAAUUUACAAGUAAAAUCUGGCUCAGCGGUACAGUCUUGCAUUUCAUUUGAUUUGCUUUAAGAUGUCAGAAAUCGGCUUGGGCAUCUUUGGAGAAAAGAGGGUGCAAAUGAGCUGCCUGACCUGGAGAGAGUCUCAACAUCUUUUUUACAUCGUGGUGACCAAAACUGGAUGCAGUAUUCCAAGUGUGG